RNAcentral lists this ribosomal RNA (1455 nucleotides) under uncultured bacterium. RNAcentral describes it as "bacterial SSU rRNA". It matches the Rfam family "Bacterial small subunit ribosomal RNA". The record is from RNAcentral.
GAUGAACGCUGGCGGUGUGUUUUAGGCAUGCAAGUCGAACGCUCGUGCUUUGCACGAGAGUGGCAGACGGGUGAGUAACGCGUAGGAAGCUACCCUUUGGUGUGGAAUAACUUGUCGAAAGGCAGGCUAAUACCGCAUGAGCCCUAUGGGGGAAAGGACAUAACUGUCCGCCGAAGGAGGCGCCUGCGUCCUAUCAGCUUGUUGGUGGGGUAAUGGCCUACCAAGGCAACGACGGGUAGCCGGUGUGAGAGCACGAUCGGCCACAAGGUCACUGAAACACGGGGCCUACGUCUACGGACGGCAGCAACCGAGAAUCUUGCGCAAUGGGCGAAAGCCUGACGCAGCGACACCGCGUGAAGGAUGAAGGCCUUCGGGUUGUAAACUUCUUUUAUAUAGGAACAUAAUGAGGGUACUUUAUGAAUAAGCACCGGCAAACUACGUGCCAGCAGCAGCGGUAAAACGUAGGGUGCAAGCGUUAUCCGGAUUUACUGGGCGUAAAGGGUUUCGUAGGCGGUUGGAAAAGUCAUUCGUUUAAGCCCGAGGCUUAACUUCGGAAAGGCGAGUGAUACUUUCUAACUAGAGUACAGUCGGGGAUGCUGGAAUGUCUGGUGGAGGAGUGAAAUCCGUUGAGAUCAGAUGGAACACCGAGGGCGAAGGCAGGCAUCUAGGCUGUUACAGACGCUGAGGAACGAAAGCUAGGGUAGCAAAAGGGAUUAGAGACCCCUGUAGUCCUUGCCGUAAACGAUCUCUACUAGUUGCUUCUUCCGCCAAGGGCGGAAUAAUCCUAAGUGACUUAAGUUACUUAGGAUACUUAGGAAUCUGCUUUUAGCGGAGGGAGUGACGUAAGCUAACGCGUUAAGUAGAGCGCCUGGGGAGUACGGCCGCAAGGCUAAAACUCAAAGGAAUUGACGGGGAGGCGCACAACCAGUGGAGCAUGUGGUUUAAUUCGAGACGAAGCGUAGGACCUUACCUGGGUUUGACAUCCCGCUGCAAGUCUGAGGAAACUCGGAUGGCCUUUGAGGGUGCGGGACAGCUACUGCAUGGUUGUCGUCAGCUCGUGUCGUGAGAUGUCCGCUUAAGUGUGGUAACGAGCGCAACCCUCAUUCUGUGUUGAAUAUUCACAGGAGACUGCCUCAGUUAAACUGGGGAGGAAGGGGAGGAUGACGUCAAAUCAGCAUGGUGCUUAUAUCCAGGGCGACACACAUCCUACAAUGGCUAGUACAAUAGGUUGCGAAGUAGUAAUGCGGAGCUAAUCCUUUAAAACUAGCCUCAGUUCAGACUGAGGGCUGAAACCCGCCCUCACGAAGUUGGAAUUGGUAGUAAUCGCGGGUCAGCAGACCGCGGUGAAUACGUUCUCGCCUCUUGUACACACUGCCCGUCAAGCGAGGAGAGUUGAGGGUGUCCGAAGUUCCCCGGUUCAACCGGGGGCCUAAGGCAAACUCAGCAAUCAGCACU